This 829-nucleotide ribosomal RNA is filed under the name uncultured soil bacterium. Its description in RNAcentral is "SSU rRNA". It matches the Rfam family "Bacterial small subunit ribosomal RNA", at positions 1 to 802 of the family's 1533-position model. The record is from RNAcentral.
UAGAGUUUGAUCCUGGCUCACAACUAACGCUGGCGGCGUGCCUGAGACAUGCAAGUCGUGGGAGAAUGUCGUAGCAAUACGGCUAGUAAACCGGCGCACGGGUGAGUAACACGUGGAUAACAUGCCUUGAAGCCCGGGAUAACCCGUCGAAAGACGGACUAAUACCGGAUAAGACCACGGGAAGUUCGCUUCCUGGGGUAAAAGGUGGCCUCUGCUCCUGCAAGCUAUCACUUCUAGAGUGGUCCGCGGCCUAUCAGCUAGUUGGUGAGGUAAUGGCUCACCAAGGCUAAUACGGGUAGCUGGUCUAAGAGGAUGGUCAGCCACACUGGGACUGAGACACGGCCCACAGUCCUACGGGAUGCAGCAGUCAGGAAUAUUGCGCAAUGGAGGAAACUCUGACGCAGCGACGCCGCGUGGGUGAUGAGGGCCUUCGGGUCUUAAAGCCCUGUCGGGAGGGAAGAAAAGCUUGUUGGCUAAUAUCCACCGAGCCUUUGACGGUACCUUCAAAGGAAGCACCUGUUAACUCCGUGCCAGCAGCCUCGGUAAGACGGAGGGUGCAAGCGUUGUUCGGAUUGACUGGGCGUAAAGGGCGUGUGGGCGGGUCGCUGAGUCGGGUGUGAAAGCCCGGGGCUCAGCUCCUGAAGUGCGCCCGAGACUGGCAAGCUGGAGCGCUCUAUACGAGGGUGGACUUCCUGGCGUAGCGGUGAAUGCGUAGAUUUCAGGAGGAACACCGGCGGCGAAUGCUGCCCUCUGCACCCCUCGCUUACGCUGAGACGCGAAAGCGUGGGGUGCAGACGGGCAGUCAUAUACCCUGGGUAGUUCCACCCUG